This 253-nucleotide ribosomal RNA is filed under the name uncultured bacterium. RNAcentral's name for it is "partial 16S ribosomal RNA". It matches the Rfam family "Bacterial small subunit ribosomal RNA", at positions 524 to 776 of the family's 1533-position model. The record is from RNAcentral.
UACAGAGGGGGCAAGCGUUGUUCGGAAUUACUGGGCGUAAAGGGCGCGUAGGCGGCCUGUUAAGUCGAACGUGAAAUCCCUGGGCUCAACCCGGGAACUGCGUCCGAUACUGGCAGGCUUGAAUUCGGGAGAGGGAUGUGGAAUUCCAGGUGUAGCGGUGAAAUGCGUAGAUAUCUGGAGGAAUACCGGUGGCGAAGGCGGCAUCCUGGACCAUUACUGACGCUGAGGCGCGAAAGCUAGGGGAGCAAACGGG